Molecule: ribosomal RNA, 474 nt
Filed under: uncultured bacterium
Lineage: Bacteria
Description: bacterial SSU rRNA
Rfam family: Bacterial small subunit ribosomal RNA
Source: RNAcentral
UUCGCAAUGCCCGAAAGGGUGACGAAGCGACGCCGCGUGUGGGAAGAAGGCCUUCGGGUUGUAAACCACUGUCGGGAGUUAAGAAGUGUAGGGGGGUUAAUAGUCUCCUUACUUGACGUUAGCUCCGGAGGAAGCCACGGCUAACUCUGUGCCAGCAGCCGCGGUAAUACAGAGGUGGCAAGCGUUGUUCGGAAUUAUUGGGCGUAAAGAGCACGUAGGCGGCCCUGCAAGUCAGCUGUGAAAUCCUUCUGCUCAACGGAAGAACGGCAGUUGAUACUAUAGGGCUCGAGUGCGGGAGGGGAGAGUGGAACUUCUGGUGGAGCGGUGAAAUGCGUAGAUAUCAGAAGGAACAUCGGCGGCGAAGGCGACUCUCUGGCCCGUAACUGACGCUGAGGUGCGAAGGCUAGGGGAGCAAACGGGAUUAGAUACCCCGGUAGUCCUAGCCGUAAACGAUGGGCACUAAGUAGAGGGGUU